This is an RNA transcript of Magnolia sinica, 3484 nucleotides long. It is a transcript of the gene named lysine-specific demethylase JMJ26-like, with no coding region annotated. NCBI's taxonomy places the organism in Eukaryota, Viridiplantae, Streptophyta, Magnoliopsida, Magnoliales, Magnoliaceae. The transcript has 14 exons. The record is from RefSeq and is a predicted model, not a curated record.
AACUUCCCGUGCGGUACGCGUCCCCUCCUCUCCCUCUCAAACCCAGAGCGAACAGAGCCAGCGUUUAGGUCUUCAAAAACCCUCUCUCCGUUUCCCACUCCAAUGCCCGAACCGGCCGGUUCGAACCGGGCCUCCGUUUCGUUUUCACCGUACAGCCGUUCCCCUGCAGCUUCCAUGAAGGACGACGAAGCGGUACCGGACCACCUCCGCUGCCGCAGAACAGACGGUCGGCAAUGGCGCUGCGUCCGCAGGGCUAUGGAGAAUCUGAGCUUCUGCGAACUACACUACCUCCAGGCCCGCCACCGCCAGAACAAGCGGACCAUUCCCGACUCGAUCAAGCUCCAGCGCAAGAAGUCUGAACGCCGCCGCUGCCAGGAUCAAGAUAUACGGGUCAAGACGCCGCCUUUCAAGCUGUCAAAGGCUUCAAAGAGGGGGGAAUUGCAGGUGGAACUGAUAAGGAUGGUGUUGAAGUGGCAGGCGGAGAGGAAAAAGAAUCGGCGGGAUUCAGAGAAGAAUGCGAGCAAGGCGAAGAAGAAUGGUGGGGAUUUGAUGAAGGAUCUGCCGAAUGGUGUGAUGGCGAUCUCGCCGGCUCCGGUUCGUUGCUUGGGGGUUGAUUUUAUGCCUCACGAGAAGAAAUUGGGGUUUGAUUUGACUCUGCUUUUGAGGAGGUGUUUCCGGUCCAAGAAUGUGGAGUCACUUCCAUUGAGCUCUUUCCAGAUUGUUCCUCGGGUUCGCAAAGUGAUGGGCCUGAGGAGAGGUGGAAAGAAGAAUUGCCAUCAGUGCCAGAGGAGAAAUGCAACGAGGCUAAUCAGGUGUUUGAGCUGUCGAAGGGAGUUCUUUUGCAUAGACUGCAUAAAGGAAUGGUACUCUGAGAUGCCAGAAAAAGAAUUUAAGAUGGCCUGUCCUGUUUGUCGCGGAACUUGCAAUUGUAAGACAUGCUUGUCCAGUGAAUCAAUAGAUGGCGGAUGUAAGGGUCCUGCAAGCGGUAUAGACAAGAUUGACAAAAUUCUACAUGCCCAUUAUUUGAUUUGUAUCCUUCUUCCAGUACUGAAACAAAUCAAUCAGGAACAGAGAAUUGAGCUGGAAAUAGAGGCAAAGCUACAGGGAGGGGAAAAACCAUCUUCUAAUCAGCCUCGUCAGGCGGAAUGUGGCUAUGAUGAGAAACUGUACUGUGACAACUGCAAAGCUUCCAUCGUGGAUUUCCAUAGAAGCUGCUCAAAUUGUUCUUUUGACCUUUGCCUAAGUUGUUGUCGUGAGAUACGUGGAGGAAGCCUACCUGGAGGCAUUGGAGCAGUUACAUUCAAUUACAUAAAUAAAGGGAAAGCUUAUGUUCAUGGUGGCAAGCCUGUUUUGGGAACAAGGCUCUCUCUGUUAAGAAAUGGUAAUUCUCUGUUACCUUCUUCAGUUGCAUUGCCCGAAUGGAAAGCUAAUGAUGGCAAUGGCAGCGUUCCUUGUCCUCCCAAGGAGCUCGGAGGUUGUGGCGCUUGCAAUCUCGAUUUGAGAUGCAUUUUCCCAUUGGAUUGGAUACAACAGCUGGAAAUAAGUGCAGAAGAAAUAGCUUGCAGUUAUGACUUUCCUGAAAUGUUAGAUGCUUCUUCCUACUGUCCCUUUUGUGUUGGCAUGCAUGAUCAAGCAAUGGGAUUUGAUGGGAAUUUGCGAGAAGCCGCUGCUAGAGAGGAGUCUUACGAUAACUAUUUAUAUUGUCCUACUGCAAAGGAUCUUCAGGGUGAAGAUCUUGAACAUUUUCAGAAGCAUUGGAUUAAGGGCCAGCCUGUUGUAGUACGCAAUGUGCUUCAUGAUAAAUCUGAUUUAAGCUGGGAUCCUUCGGUAUUUUUCCAUCCUUUGCUUGAAAGGAACAGUACCAAUCAUGGGAAUGAUAUGAAGUCAGUUAAAGCUACUGAUUGCUUGGAUUGGUGUGAGGUAGAAAUCAGUAUUCACCACUUUCUUAAUGGAUAUUUAGAGGGAAGAACACAUGCCAAUUUGUGGCCUGAGAUGCUGAAAUUGAAGGAUUGGCAUCCUCCUAGUUGGUUUCAGGAACAGUUGCCGGCUCAUAAUGCUGAAUUUGUUUGUAGUCUACCGUUCCAAGAAUAUACUAAUCCCAAUUCUGGCCUUUUCAACUUAGCUGUGAAGUUACCGAAGGAAUUCCUCAAGCCUGACCUGGGUCCACGGGUGUAUAUCUCUUACGGUGUGGCUGAGGAGCUCUGCCGUGGUGAUUCUGUAACUAAGCUACACUAUGAUAUAUAUGAUGUGGUGAAUGUGCUGACACAUGCCACAGAGGUUAUAAUUCCCCCAGAGCAACUUAUCAAAAUUGAAAAGCUUAAGAGAAGGCACAGGGCUCAGGAUGAAAGGGAGUUCCUCAGGCGGACUGUAUCUGUUCCAGAAGUUGUAGAUGGGGUGAAACAGGAGUCAUCUGUGGUUGUUGUGGAAGAACCAGAUGUUGUUGAUCCGGAAGAUGUUACUGGAAGAGAGUCUACCUUAUUAAGAGGAGCUGCUGGUGUUUCUUGCUUGUCUGCUGUCAUCCAAAGGCCUAAAGAAUAUGAAAUUGGUGCCAAAGAGGAAAAAAUGUUGGAUGCUGGAGAGUAUGGCACUGAUAUUGAAUCCCAAAAGGAGUGUUCCAGUACCCAAAGCUCUGAAAUAUCUGAUGAUGGAGAGAAGGCCGCUCAGGAAGAAAGUAGAGGGAGCACCCUUAGUUUUGGAAAAGAAUCAAUAGCUAAAUCAUGUGGUGUUCGAUGGGAUGUCUUUCGUAGAGAAGAUGUUCCAAAGUUGCAGGCUUACCUCAGAAAACACUCUAAUGAGUUCAGGCACACUUAUUGCUCUCCAGUUGAACAUUCUGCUCAUCCGAUUCAUGAUCAGAGUUUCUUUCUGGAUACAACUCAUAAAAGGAGGCUCAAGGAGGAGUUCUAUAUCGAGCCUUGGACUUUUGAUCAGCACGUUGGAGAAGCAGUCCUUGUUCCUGCCGGAUGUCCAUAUCAAACUAGAAAUCUUAAGUCUUGUAUGAACGUGGCAUUGGAUUUUGUAUCUCCUGAGAAUGUUAGCGAGUGCAUUCGGUUGAUCGAUGAACUCCAUCUGCUACCUAACAAUCAUAAAGCCAAGGAAGACAAGUUAGAGGUGAAGAAAAUGAGCCUCUAUGGUAUUAGUGCAGCAAUUAAGGAAGUUCAAGAAUUGACACGAAGUGCGAUGUCAAGUUGAAGGGCCCAAAAAGAAUCCGGUGGCAAAGUGUUGACAACAACAAGCUCAUCAUGAGUUGUCCUGCUAUCACUAGGUGGGCUGACAUGAGGAAGAAGCUGGAAAGGACAAUACUCAUCUUAAAGAGAAGAGGCCAUGAAAGCAGGAGGUUCUUCGGAUGCCUUCAUCCUCUGUUUAACUCAACUGCCAUCCUUUUCUCUUGCAUAGCUGGAAAUCUUUCUCUAUGGCAUCUUUCAGUGAAGUUACAGUUUCGCUACUCGCAUGUAUUACGUGCAGAAAUUUUGCUUCCGCUGUGCAU